RNAcentral lists this ribosomal RNA (106 nucleotides) under Lentisphaeria bacterium. RNAcentral's name for it is "partial 16S ribosomal RNA". It matches the Rfam family "Bacterial small subunit ribosomal RNA", at positions 1 to 117 of the family's 1533-position model. Lineage: Bacteria; Pseudomonadati; Lentisphaerota; Lentisphaeria. The record is from RNAcentral.
UUUAUGGAGAGUUUGAUCCUGGCUAAGAACGAACGCUGGCGGCAUGGAUUAGGCAUGCAAGUAGAACGAAGCAGCAAUGCUUAGUGGCGGAAGGGUGAGGAACGCG